RNAcentral lists this ribosomal RNA (276 nucleotides) under uncultured prokaryote. RNAcentral's name for it is "partial 16S ribosomal RNA". It matches the Rfam family "Bacterial small subunit ribosomal RNA", at positions 524 to 800 of the family's 1533-position model. The record is from RNAcentral.
UACGUAGGGGGCUAGCGUUAUCCGGAAUUACUGGGCGUAAAGGGUGCGUAGGUGGUUUCUUAAGUCUGAGGUUAAAGUUCGGGGCUCAACCCCGUGAUGCCUUAGAAACUGGUAGGCUAGAGUGCAGGAGAGGUGAGUGGAAUUCCAUGUGUAGCGGUAAAAUGCGUAGAUAUAUGGAGGAACACCAGUGGCGAAGGCGGCUCACUGGCCUGUAACUGACGCUGAGGCUCGAAAGCGUGGGGAGCAAAUAGGAUUAGAUACCCCUGUAGUCCCUGA